RNAcentral lists this ribosomal RNA (466 nucleotides) under uncultured bacterium. RNAcentral's name for it is "bacterial SSU rRNA". It matches the Rfam family "Bacterial small subunit ribosomal RNA", at positions 917 to 1382 of the family's 1533-position model. The record is from RNAcentral.
GGGCCCGCACAAGCGGUGGAUUAUGUGGUUUAAUUCGAAGCAACGCGCAGAACCUUACCUAGGCUUGAAAUCCCACGAAUCCCUUUUAAACGAGGGAGUGCUCUUCGGAGAAUGUGGUGACAGGCGCUGCAUGGCUGUCGUCAGCUCGUGUCGUGAGAUGUUGGGUUAAGUCUCGCAACGAGCGCAACCCCCAUUUUUAGUUGCCAGCAUUAAGUUGGGCACUCUAGAAAGACCGCCUGGGCUAACCAGGAGGAAGGUGGGGAUGACGUCAAGUCCUCAUGGCCCUUAUGUCUAGGGCUACACACGUAAUACAAUGGUCGGUACAGAGGGAUGCGAACUCGCGAGGGGGAGCUAAUCUCAAAAAACCGAUCUCAGUCCGGAUUGGAGUCUGCAACUCGACUCCAUGAAGUUGGAAUCGCUAGUAAUCGCGGAUCAGCACGCCGCGGUGAAUACGUUCCCGGGCCUU